GCGGAGCAGAAACGGGCCGCAAGCCCGCAUGGCUGUUGAGUUCCUUGUCGAGCUUCCCAAGCUUACGACGAGGGUUCGAUUCCCUUCACCCGCUCCA
This 97-nucleotide transfer RNA is filed under the name Janthinobacterium sp. CAN_S1. RNAcentral describes it as "tRNA-Gly". Lineage: Bacteria; Pseudomonadati; Pseudomonadota; Betaproteobacteria; Burkholderiales; Oxalobacteraceae. The record is from RNAcentral.